GAAGUUUGGCAGACAAUCGCUGGCGGCUUAAGGCCGCGAGAGGAAAGUCCGGGCUCCAUAAGGCAGGAUGCUGGAUAACGUCCAGUCAGCGCGAGCUGAAGGAUAGUGCCACAGAAAUGGACCGCCGAUGGCGCGGAUGUACUUCCGCGAUCAGGCAAGGGUGGAACCGUGGUGUAAGAGACCACGAGGAGGUAUGGCGACAUACGUCCUGGUAAACCCCAUCUGGAGCAAGACCUAAUGGAACGCAGCCGUUCUUGAACGGCAGCCCUCGCCUGGGGCGCGUUCGGGUUGGUCGCUGGAGCGGAUCAGCAAUGGUUCGCGUAGAUAGAUGAUUGUCGCUUCAAUGGUGGGAGGGUGGUACCCGUUACGACCACUGGAAGCACAGAACCCGGCUUACGGCAAACUUCUCCA
This 411-nucleotide RNase P RNA is filed under the name Paenibacillus thalictri. Its description in RNAcentral is "Bacterial RNase P class A". It matches the Rfam family "Bacterial RNase P class A". From Rfam's summary of the family: Ribonuclease P (RNase P) is a ubiquitous endoribonuclease, found in archaea, bacteria and eukarya as well as chloroplasts and mitochondria. Its best characterised activity is the generation of mature 5'-ends of tRNAs by cleaving the 5'-leader elements of precursor-tRNAs. Lineage: Bacteria; Bacillati; Bacillota; Bacilli; Caryophanales; Paenibacillaceae. The record is from Rfam by way of RNAcentral.